RNAcentral lists this ribosomal RNA (253 nucleotides) under uncultured bacterium. RNAcentral describes it as "partial 16S ribosomal RNA". It matches the Rfam family "Bacterial small subunit ribosomal RNA", at positions 524 to 776 of the family's 1533-position model. The record is from RNAcentral.
UACAGAGGGUGCGAGCGUUAAUCGGAAUUACUGGGCGUAAAGCGUGCGUAGACGGUCAAGUAAGUCGGGUGUGAAAGCCCCGGGCUCAACCUGGGAAUUGCAUUCGAGACUGCGUGGCUAGGGUGCGGAAGAGGGAAGCGGAAUUUCCGGUGUAGCGGUGAAAUGCGUAGAUAUCGGAAGGAACACCAGUGGCGAAGGCGGCUCACUGGGGGUUUUCUGACGCUGAGGAACGAAAGCCAGGGUAGCGAACGGG